GUAAUCAAAAGUUUAUUAAUUGUAAACCUGUAUGAAAGAUAAAAUUUAUAUUCUCUCUCCUAUGUUUAAUUGUGAAUUUAAAGAAAAAUAAAAAAUAUUUUCUUAGUAGGCAGACGAGAAGACCCUAAAAGCUAAUUGUAAACAAUUUUUUGGGGAAAAUAUGAUUUUUAAUCUAAUUUGAAAAAAUUUUAAAAACUUGAAAAUAAGCUACUUUAGGGAUAACAGAGUAAUUUUUUCAAAAAGAACAUAUUGAAUUAAAAGAUUACGACCUCGAUGUUGGAUUCUUGUGUCUAAGGGCCGCAGCCGGCCCUUAAGAAUAGACUGUUCGUUUUUCAAACCAAG
RNAcentral lists this ribosomal RNA (342 nucleotides) under Tetra pinnatifidae. Its description in RNAcentral is "partial 16S ribosomal RNA". The stretch from base 106 to 342 matches the Rfam family "Bacterial large subunit ribosomal RNA", at positions 2072 to 2597 of the family's 2925-position model. Lineage: Eukaryota; Metazoa; Arthropoda; Arachnida; Trombidiformes; Eriophyidae. The record is from RNAcentral.